This 394-nucleotide ribosomal RNA is filed under the name bacterium enrichment culture. RNAcentral describes it as "bacterial SSU rRNA". It matches the Rfam family "Bacterial small subunit ribosomal RNA", at positions 521 to 916 of the family's 1533-position model. The record is from RNAcentral.
UAAGACGAAGGAUGCAAGCGUUAUCCGGAUUCAUUGGGUUUAAAGGGUGCGUAGGCGGACUUGUAAGUCAGUGGUGAAAUCUCUUCGCUUAACGAAGAAACUGCCAUUGAUACUGCAGGUCUAGAGUAUAGAUGACGUUGGCGGAAUAUGACAUGUAGUGGUGAAAUACUUAGAUAUGUCAUAGAACACCGAUUGCGAAGGCAGCUAACGAAACUAUAACUGACGCUGAGGCACGAAAGUGCGGGGAUCAAACAGGAUUAGAUACCCUGGUAGUCCGCACCGUAAACGAUGAUUACUCGUUGUUGGCGAUAUGACAGUCAGCGACCAAGCGAAAGCGAUAAGUAAUCCACCUGGGGAGUACGCCGGCAACGGUGAAACUCAAAGGAAUUGACGG